Molecule: ribosomal RNA, 490 nt
Filed under: uncultured bacterium
Lineage: Bacteria
Description: partial 16S ribosomal RNA
Rfam family: Bacterial small subunit ribosomal RNA
Source: RNAcentral
AUUGAACGCUGGCGGCAGGCCUAACACAUGCAAGUCGAACGGUAACAGGAAGAAGCUUGCUUCUUUGCUGACGAGUGGCGGACGGGUGAGUAAUGUCUGGGAAACUGCCUGAUGGAGGGGGAUAACUACUGGAAACGGUAGCUAAUACCGCAUAACGUCGCAAGACCAAAGAGGGGGACCUUCGGGCCUCUUGCCAUCGGAUGUGCCCAGAUGGGAUUAGCUAGUAGGUGGGGUAACGUCUCACCUAGGCGACGAUCCCUAGCUGGUCUGAGAGGAUGACCAGCCACACUGGAACUGAGACACGGUCCAGACUCCUACGGGAGGCAGCAGUGGGGAAUAUUGCACAAUGGGCGCAAGCCUGAUGCAGCCAUGCCGCGUGUAUGAAGAAGGCCUUCGGGUUGUAAAGUACUUUCAGCGGGGAGGAAGGGAGUAAAGUUAAUACCUUUACUCAUUGACGUUACCCGCAGAAGAAGCACCGGCUAACUCCGUG